GACGUAGGUGGCGAACGUUAUCCGGAAUUAUUGGGCGUAAAGGGUGCGUAGAUGGCCUGAUAAGUUAGCAGUGGGAAAUCGAGGCUCAACCUCGUGGAAGCUGGUAAUACUGUCAAGCUCGAGUGCAGGAGAAGUUAACGGAACUCCAUGUGGAGCGGUAAAAUGUGUAGAUAUAUGGAAGAACACCAAUAACGGCGAAGGCAGUUAACUAUUCUGUUACUGACAUUGAGGCACGAAAGCGUGGGGAGCAAAACGG
Molecule: ribosomal RNA, 256 nt
Filed under: uncultured bacterium
Lineage: Bacteria
Description: partial 16S ribosomal RNA
Rfam family: Bacterial small subunit ribosomal RNA
Source: RNAcentral